AUGCCUGCCCAUCGAGGAAUAGCUGACUCAAUGGCCCCAUUCAUGGGCCUUCCCACACCUUCCAGCUCUCCUUCUCUCCAGAGAUAUAUGGCAGGAUAUCCAUAUAUGCAGCUGUCGGUGGAAAACCAUGGAAUGGGUGCGCGUUUUGUUCACUGGACUGAAGGAGAAAGGUUUUAUACACUACAUGCUGAUAACUACCAGCCAGAAAAGAAAAGUGGGACAGAAGAUGGAUUCUUCAGAUUUAGCAAUGACUUCUCUAGAAGAAGGGGAGAUUGUGCUGUCAUGAAUUAAAUUAAAAAAAAAAUCAACCAGCAAAAUACAGAUGCUGAGCAACUCCUUUGGCUACAUCGAUGGGUCUCUUUCAACAGCUGUGGGAGCAAAAUGUUCUGGUACUGUAUGACAGGAGCCUGGAGGAACUGAGGAGAUGAAGCACAGGCUCUGGAUCCACUGGGGAAAAUGCCAAGUGAGUAGAUCCGGUAACUGUGAAGUAGAGUUAAUGAGAAGUUCUUAGAUAUGCUGCUAGAGGAUUUGGAAAUGGGUAACAUGUGAAGGUAUUUGUCUUUCCAUAGACGUACUUCAUUCAUCAAUGGCCCCAUAAUGUCAGGAAUGAUGUUACUUCUUAUUAUGCUUCAUAAAUGUUGGAGACCCUUUGAAGAAUUGAGCUAAGCACACUGUGCAUGGAACUCCUUACUUGGCACACUUCUAGCAGCUCCCUCUCCCAGGCAUGUAGGAGGGCAGGCCAAGGGCCUUUGUGUAAACAUCUCCCACUGCUCUCUUCAAGAGAAGCGUGAGCGUCUCAGGGAACAUCAGAAUGUGUGCACAGGCAUAUGCUCAUCCUCGUGUGCUCUUGGUGCUGAG
RNAcentral lists this long non-coding RNA (858 nucleotides) under Felis catus (domestic cat). RNAcentral describes it as "lncRNA (ENSFCAG00000046364.2)". Lineage: Eukaryota; Metazoa; Chordata; Mammalia; Carnivora; Felidae. The record is from RNAcentral.